Labrus mixtus (cuckoo wrasse) is the source of this 242-nucleotide long non-coding RNA. RefSeq lists it as uncharacterized. The transcript has 3 exons. The record is from RefSeq and is a predicted model, not a curated record. Lineage: Eukaryota; Metazoa; Chordata; Actinopteri; Labriformes; Labridae.
GUUUGAUGAUGCUCUUCACACAGACCAGAGGCAGCCCCAUGUAGUUCGACUUGAUGAUCCACUUUAACAACUGAUGACCCAAAACCUCCAACACCAUACACACAUCUGAUUAUAGUUAAGGUCAGACAGACAGGUAGAGAGAUGGAGGCUGAGAGACAGACAGUUUAUCAGGAUACGGACUCCAUUCACUCCAGAGAUCUUGAAGUCGUCGAUCAGCUGGACGAUGGUUUCUCUGAAGGGGU